CUGUCACAGCCCAACAUCUCUGUCAGUGCCCCAGAGGGAGAGCUGGUCUUGGGGCCCCAUGGCCCAGAGGUCCGCUGGGGCCAAAGCUUCUCCAUCGUCUGCUCCACCAAGCCACAGUACCAAGGAGGCUCUUUCCACCUCAUCUUUGACAGGUCAGCAGACAUCUGGACUGAGCUGGCGGUCAAUCACUCUGCCUCUUUCAACUUUCCUGAAGCAGAGUUUUUCCAUGAAGGGAACUACAGCUGCUUCUAUGAAGUCACCUUGUCCACACGUCUGUUCACCUCAGGAAAAACAGAUGUGCUUUGUGUGAUCAUAAGAGCUCUGACAUGGAUGGAGUGGUCUCGCCAUAUGGCAUCUGCACAUCCCUCUGUGAUCUAUGGGGCAACACUUGGCCUGAUGCUCCUUGUGAUAGUCCUGUGCUCAGUGUUGCUGUUGAAGAAAAAGAAGACUCAGCAUAUAUAUAUGUGAUCAAUGAUGAGUAUUGGCCUAUGACUUCAUUUGAAGUACUAAAAUCAGCAGAGCCAGUGAAGACCGAGCAGAGACCAUCUCAGCUGGAGGAAGAAGUUGAAUUUGCAUCGUAAGCAGACCACAGUAUAUAUGUGUGGGUAAAGAUCUGUGUGGGUAAAGAUCUGUGUGUGUAAAGAUCUGUGUGGGUAAAGAUCUGUGUGGGUAAAGAUCUGUGUGGGUAAAGAUAUGUGUGGGUAAAGAUCUGUGUGGGUAAAGAUCUGUGUGGGUAAAGAUCUGUGCUUUUGCUUCACUGAUUUGACGUGAUUGUGUCUGCUGUGUUUUUAUUCAUGUUAAUGCUGUUGUUUUUUUUUGUUUGUUUUUCAAAUAUAAUGGCAGAAUUUAUUUUUGAUUGUUACGUUUAUAUUCUCUAUUUAUAACUUUAGUUUUUCAAGAAAAUAUUGUGUUAUCUCGCCUGUACAAAGCAUAUCCUCAUCUUAAAUUAGUGUGUGACAGCAAAGGUGAGAUCUAUUUGUACCUUACACCACAGCUGAUGAUAAUUUAAUACUUCAAUGUAUCUAAAUAAGUGCAGUGCAUUGUUUCAGUGCCAUUCUUUUUGCUUACAAUAAAUGGAAGCUUU
Molecule: long non-coding RNA, 1084 nt
Organism: Alosa alosa (allis shad)
Lineage: Eukaryota; Metazoa; Chordata; Actinopteri; Clupeiformes; Clupeidae
Exons: 3
Source: RefSeq, a predicted model, not a curated record